UAUUGAAACGCCAGUUCUUGUACAAUCAGCAAAGUUAAGCAACAUUGAACCUAGAUAGUACCUAGAUGGGUGACCAUUUGGGAAUAUUUGGUGCUGUAAG
Non-coding RNA from Acanthosepion pharaonis, 100 nucleotides. The record is from the annotation of a GenBank genome assembly. NCBI's taxonomy places the organism in Eukaryota, Metazoa, Mollusca, Cephalopoda, Sepiida, Sepiidae.